This 465-nucleotide ribosomal RNA is filed under the name Vreelandella stevensii. Its description in RNAcentral is "partial 16S ribosomal RNA". It matches the Rfam family "Bacterial small subunit ribosomal RNA", at positions 338 to 795 of the family's 1533-position model. The record is from RNAcentral. Lineage: Bacteria; Pseudomonadati; Pseudomonadota; Gammaproteobacteria; Oceanospirillales; Halomonadaceae.
CCUACGGGCGGCAGCAGUGGGGAAUAUUGGACAAUGGGGGGAACCCUGAUCCAGCCAUGCCGCGUGUGUGAAGAAGGCCCUCGGGUUGUAAAGCACUUUCAGUGAGGAAGAACGCCUGGUGGUUAAGACCCAUCAGGAAAGACAUCACUCACAGAAGAAGCACCGGCUAACUCCGUGCCAGCAGCCGCGGUAAUACGGAGGGUGCGAGCGUUAAUCGGAAUUACUGGGCGUAAAGCGCGCGUAGGUGGCUUGAUAAGCCGGUUGUGAAAGCCCCGGGCUCAAACUGGGAACGGCAUCCGGAACUGUCAAGCUAGAGUGCAGGAGAGGAAGGUAGAAUUCCCGGUGUAGCGGUGAAAUGCGUAGAGAUCGGGAGGAAUACCAGUGGCGAAGGCGGCCUUCUGGACUGAAACUGACACUGAGGUGCGAAAGCGUGGGUAGCAAACAGGAUUAGAUACCCGAGUAGUC